UACGGAAGGCAGCAGUGGGGAAUAUUGCACAAUGGGCGCAAGCCUGAUGCAGCCAUGCCGCGUGUAUGAAGAAGGCCUUCGGGUUGUAAAGUACUUUCAGUCGUGAGGAAGGUGUUAAGGUUAAUAACCUUAGCAAUUGACGUUAGCGACAGAAGAAGCACCGGCUAACUCCGUGCCAGCAGCCGCGGUAAUACGGAGGGUGCGAGCGUUAAUCGGAAUUACUGGGCGUAAAGGGCACGCAGGCGGUUAAUUAAGUUGGAUGUGAAAUCCCCGGGCUUAACCUGGGAAUGGCAUUCAAGACUGGUUAGCUAGAGUCUUGUAGAGGGGGUAGAAUUCCAUGUGUAGCGGUGAAAUGCGUAGAGAUGUGGAGGAUACCGGUGGCGAAGGCGGCCCCUGGACAAAGACUGACGCUCAUGUGCGAAAGCGUGGGGAGCAAACG
This 439-nucleotide ribosomal RNA is filed under the name uncultured bacterium. RNAcentral describes it as "bacterial SSU rRNA". It matches the Rfam family "Bacterial small subunit ribosomal RNA", at positions 340 to 774 of the family's 1533-position model. The record is from RNAcentral.